GCACUAUGAUGAGACUUAUCACAGACCUGUUCUGAGUACUAUGAGGACAGUUAAUGUCUCUGAGUCUU
This is a small nucleolar RNA of Spea bombifrons (plains spadefoot toad), 68 nucleotides long. RefSeq annotates it as small nucleolar RNA U25. The transcript has a single exon. The record is from RefSeq and is a predicted model, not a curated record. Lineage: Eukaryota; Metazoa; Chordata; Amphibia; Anura; Pelobatidae.